This is an RNA transcript of Carya illinoinensis, 1412 nucleotides long. It is a transcript of the gene named protein LITTLE ZIPPER 2-like, with no coding region annotated. Lineage: Eukaryota; Viridiplantae; Streptophyta; Magnoliopsida; Fagales; Juglandaceae. The record is from RefSeq and is a predicted model, not a curated record. The transcript is spliced from 2 exons.
UGGACAUGCAAUCUGCUACAGCGUUGCAGUGCUCAGGAUGGGUCCCUAAGGUGAUGGGCAGUGAUCGCAACCAGUAAAAGGCUACCCAUGAUCAAUUUUAUGCCAUUCCAAAUGCACCAUGACAACACUCGAUCGAUCAUGACAUGUUUGAUCGGUUCAAGAUGACCAGUACAGCAGAGAACGAGUUGUGACGGGUGUCCGGUAAUUGUACCAUACCGAGAACUGGAAAUAAAUAUAGCAGCGUCAUGUAAAUCCGUACGUACUGUUUUGUAUAUGUUUCUACGUGAUAGACUGACAACAAUACUGUCUCAUGCACAAGUUGCGUGUGGUUUAAACUUUAAACCAUCAUAACACAAAUUAUAAAGACUUUUGAGUACUCUUUUUGAAAUUAGGUUAGUGUAUAAUCGAGUUUAUAACACACACGCAAACACAAACACACAUAUAUAUAUAAUACUCAAAUCCUCCGGGUUAAAUGGACGUUUACGAGUACCCCCUUGGCCUUACACAGCCAAUUAGAGCAGCUUUCCAUCUUCAAGGGCUUUUUCUCCUCAUCGUUUGAUGUCGUUUGCUGCCCUCUACAAUCAUGAGUCCAUCCGCCAUCAUUACCAGGAGAGAAAUCUCUCUCUCUCUCUCUCUCCCUCUCUCCUACAUGGCAAUCACAUGGAUACAUACACAGGAGGCAACCCAUCUAUAUUUAUAUAUAGGAGCUUGCAACACACUCCUCUCAAUUUCCACUCAUUUUAUCUUCUACUCCUAAUUUUUAUAGGAAGGCCAAUAAAAACCAAACAAAAAUGUGUACCAACAACGCCGAAAAGAUUCCGUCUGGCACAGUCCGUUCUUCUGAAAGAAAGCAAAGAUCAAAGCGAUCUAAAGUUCAAGUUCAAUGGCUGACCUGCAGAUGGAGCUAACGUGUGGAUGGCUUUCAGCAGGAAAAAGUGUGAAGAAAAAUUAGACAAAGAUGUUGAACUAAAGAACCUGAAGUUAUAUUUGGAGAACAAAAGUAUAAUCGAAGAGAAUGAGAAGCUGAGGAGAAAAGCCAAUCUUCUUCACCAGGAGAAUUUAGCCUUAAUGUCUGAGUUUCAGAAGAAAUUCCCAGAUUUGAAUCGUUCCUCUACCCUGGUUCAUCUUCACAAACACUGAUAUCAGAAGAGGAGUAGUCAUAUAAAUAUUCUCUAUUCCGGCGCCUCUCCAAUCUCUAGCUUUCUUCUUCUCUGUUUCUGAAUACAUGUUUUUGGAGAAUUAGAAGUCCUAUCUAAUUUCCGGGGCUCAUAUGUUAAUGUUAUAAUUUCCCGAAAAUAUUGUAAGAGAUCAUGGAAGUUUGGCCACCAUGGUUAUGUUAAUGAGUUUCUUCAAACAGAGCUGUAGGGGCACAAAUGAUGCGCUAUAUGAUGAAUACCUUCUUUCAGACCCAA